This is an RNA transcript of Gallus gallus (chicken), 4180 nucleotides long. RefSeq lists it as uncharacterized. The record is from RefSeq and is a predicted model, not a curated record. Lineage: Eukaryota; Metazoa; Chordata; Aves; Galliformes; Phasianidae. The transcript has 3 exons.
UUUCUUCCCUGUAACGUGACAUCUCUUUUCUUCUGCAUCGGCUCUCCUCCUCCUCUUUCUUCCCUGUAUUCUCCCUGCUCAUUCUCGGGCAGCUGUGCUCCUCUUCUGCUGUUCUUUCCUCCUUGUAUCCUCACUCUUCUGAUGGUUUCCAUUGCAUCUCACCACUGCUCUUUCACCUGCAUCUGCUUUUCUCUUCUGCUGUAUGUUUCCCUGCUUCCUCACUCCUCUUUAUUCUGCAUUGGCUCUACUCUUCUGCUCUUCUUUCUUCCCUCACUCUUUUUCCAUCUGCCCACCUCUUAGGCUCUCCCUUCUUUUCUAUCCUCCCUGCUCUUUCCUCUGCAUUCUCACUCUUCUCCUGUUCUUAUUCCCCUGCAUCAUCCUCACUCCUUUUCCCUCUGCAUCAGCACUGCUCUUCUGUUGGAUUUUGUUUCCUGUUGCCAGACUUGUCUUUAUUCUGCAUCUGCACUCCUCUUCUACUGCUCUUUCUUCUCUGUAUCCUCACUCCUCUUUCUGCUGCCUCUGCUCUCCUCUCUGCUUUUUUUUUGUUCCCUGUAUUCUCACUUGUCUUUCUUCUGACUGCUCUUGAAGAGAGAGAGCAGGACCCUGCAGUUCGAGAGAGAAGGGCCUCACAGCAAGAAAGGGGAAAGCAGCUUCACAAAGUAGAAACAAGGGGCAAAUAGAGAUAGUUUAGGUAGAGAGUGUUAGAAAACAAGGGGUUCCAAGCACUUUCACAGACACUGGGUCUGGAAUAGCAAGGAGGAUGAAGGCCAUAGAGAUAAGGGCUGGAGAGCAGCUCGAAAAAACAUUUGGCAGGGAGGUGAUUAGAUGUCUACAGGGCAAGCUGAAACUGGUUUGGGGGAUGCCCCCCCUUCAGGGUCAGAAGUUUGCAGCGAGGAAGACUACGAGCCUUUGUGAGGAAGACUGCAAGCCUUCAUCAUCACGACCUACUACGCCCGCGCAAGGGGGGGAGAGACUGCAUGCUAAUGGGCUCUCGGGAAUGUAAUGAAGAUGUAUCUGAAUUCCUGUCAACUACUGAUUAUGUAUUAGUUUGACCUGAAGGGAAGAUAAAUCCCUGCAACGUGCUGAACUGCUGUGUAGAAUGAGCUCUGUUUUAAUCUCGUUCCUCUACGAUGCUCAGCUUUCCUAGCUUCUCCCCUGCCUAAGCACACACUUCUGUCCCUUGGCAUUAACCAUCACGCACAGCGGGAUCAAAUCUGAGCUCUGUCUCCUCCUGCUUCUUUCCAGAAGGAUGAGACAAACAGCAGAAAACAACCAGCCUCCACAGCUAACUCGUUUGGGGUUGCUCCGGACGUUUGGAUGUUCCCUUCCAUGGCCCAGGCCAAGCUCGCUGAGCUGCUCCUCCUUUGUGCAGGGGAAGACCGGUGCAGGUGCAAUGCGCUGGCAAAUCCACCUGCAGAAAACACUGCCAUUCCCUUUAGAAACAAAGAAACCACUCUGCCCUUGCUCCUGAGCCUGGUCCCUGCCUCCACCUGCAGGGCUUGGCUAUCCUGCCUCUGUUCGUGGGCCACUAAAUGAAAUCCAGACAACAGAAACAAAAAGAGGCAGAGGACUGGCACUAAUACUUCCCCGUUGGCGGGAAUCUCAACAGAAAGUGCUGUGCUAAAGCUGUGAGGUUCAGGCAACACCCCUAUCAAGGCAAAAGACGUAGAAUGGAAGGCUUGGUUAGUCUUCUGACUAGAAGAAGAGAAAGGACUAUUACCUCCUAUUUUAUUUUUCUUUCAGUCUCUCUCGUCAUGUAAAUCUGAGGAUGACCAAAGCCUGUUGCCCCAAGCAUUGCUGAACCCAUCAAAAUGGUUGCUCAGAGAUAACCCCAUUGGGUGACCCUAAGAUGUGGAGCUGGGAGGCGUCCAUUUCCUUCGCUUAUGAUGAAAGCACCGAGGCGAUGCGGGCACUCGCUGAGGUCACAACCACUGCUGGGGUGGGAGCGUUUGUGCCACAGCUGGUGAGCAGAGCUGGUGCUCUGGUGAGCGUGCUGCACGCAGAGACUGAGCUCUGGGCCUUCUGUGGAACAGAUCACCCUGUGAGAGCCCGACGGAAGCAUCGCGUGUGCACUCGUCGGUACUUUCUGCAGGAUUCCUGUCCCAAAGGAGAUUCCGGGAUUGAGGCGGUCUUAGGAAGAGGGAAGCCAGCUCUUUCCAAGGUCUGGGGAAGUUCCUGCAGAGAGAGCCUCUGGAACUUCAGCUUCCUCUGAGCCUUCAGCAGCCAUGUCUCAGCAAGGAGACGACCGCGGUUCCAAUUGCUGCCGUGUGAGUGGCAAGGUAUGGCUGGGCUUCUUCUGCUUGGUGCUUCCGUUUCCUUGUUUUCAAGGGGAAGGGACGGAGCAAGGGGAGCCCUGCUGGUCCUUGGUGACCUCAGUAACCGGUUGGAUUCAGCGCUCACUGCUGACAGCCUGGGCUAACAACGUGGACGUGGCUCAGGCUGUCUUUUCCCAUAGUGAUAAUCAGUGUCUCAGCACUCUGAUAUCCCAUGUGUGGCACGAUCUGGAACCUCUCUGCAAACCUUGGCUGCCCGUUCCCACCACCGUUUCUCCCUUUCUCUCUUCAGAAGUGGCGCGGUGCGGUUCCCCGCGGUUGGGAGCAGCAGCCAGCAGGCUGCCAGAGAUCCAACCGCGCCUUGCAGCGCACAGGGGGACGCAACAGGGACGGACGGUCCUUCCUGCCAUACAGAAGUGAGUUUCUUCAGCCCUCUGUCGCAAAGUGUGGAGGAAUGAAUUUUGAGUAUUCCUUCUGAGCGGGUGCAGUGCUGUAGGGGAUGUCAAGUAAGCAUCCAUUUGGAGUGCAGGAAGGAGCAGUGCAAAGUGAACUAUCAAUCCGUUUGUGUUUGGGCUGUCAAAGAAGCAUCUUUCUGUUUCCUGGGGGGACGUGGGCUUAUUGCAUGAUAUUUCUGCUGCUGCCUGCUGGUGCCUGUGAAAUCAACGUUGUGGAUUUUUUACAAUGUUUCUGUAGGGAUGGAUCCUGCGCGUAAAUGGAGUGGUGCUGGGCAAGGGGGGAAACGGAAAGCCUCCGCAGGUAAGAAGCUCAUGUGAGCUGUGCUAUGGGUAUGCGCCUCUAAAUAGGGCUGCAUGAAGGGCAGUGUGUGCGAUGGAGGGGAGAGGAAAGGGCACUGCACAUCCGUGCUGGGAACCCAACGUUCAGCCAAGAUCCUAAGAUCCCUUACCGUGAGCACUCGAGACAUUUUAGCAUGAUGGCCCAUUCUGCAGAGUGCAAGGACUGCAAGGACUCUCUUUCAAUCUUGUUGCUUCUCCUUUCCCGAUUAUCACAGAGAGAGGUGCCGAGCCCAACGGAAAGAUCUACGCAAAAGCAGUGCAGGAAGUCCUUCUGGAGAGAGCUCAUCUCCAGGCUGGAGGGCUUCCUACAACAGCAGGUCCCAGCACAGGGGGAAGACCUUCCCCUGCCGUGUGCCCCCGCUCUGUCUCCAAGUCCUUGGCUGGAUGUAAACGCAAGGGCUUGGAAGAAGCGAAGCCAACAGCAGUGCAGCUGCCUGCUAACAAAAGAGUGAGGGGGCUGAGCGGAGACAGCGUGCCAGCUCCAGCAGCACACCCUGGGCCUGCUGCAGUGCAGAGCUCCAAGCUAAGAGGUGAGAAGGUGCUGUGGGACCCACCCUGGUGAGCUGCUGUCCUUUUCAAGCACACUGAGUUUGCUUAGAGUUUGCUUUGCUUUUUCCUUCUCUGUGGAGGGGACAAGAGUGGAAGGCUACAAAGUCCAAAGGCAGUGAGGUGCCAGAACACGUAACCCCGUCUCCUUCCAUUAACUCCAUGGUGGUCUUCUGCACGUCCCCCUGGAAAUGUCAUUCACUGGGAGGCUUCCUAGUCCCGUUUCCUCUGUUUUUUUGCUGCCUUCUGCCUGUACAGCACCCCUGUUUCUGCAGUUGUGCUGCUGACAAAAUGCAUUCAUGUUUAUUCUUGCUUUCUAGCAAGAAGACGCCAAGAGAAAGAGAGAAGAGGGGAAUCGAUGAAGGCUGCCCUCAGAGCUGCCGCUGCACGUGCAGAGGCCUCCGCAGUGAACAGCCUUGUGGAGAUGAUGCAGAAGCUGCAGCUGAAGGACUGAGAGGAGGAGCGUCAGCAGGCAGCGGCUGCAGUGCGCGGCGUUACAGGGCAGCGCUGCGAGUGCCGCCCAACUCGGCACUCCAACUUCAGAUGGAGUCAAUAAAAACCAGUCAC